GACGAACGCUGGCGGCGUGCUUAACACAUGCAAGUCGAACGGAAAGUCCCUGCUUGCAGGGUAAUCGAGUGGCGAACGGGUGAGUAACACGUGGGUGAUCUGCCCUGCACUUCGGGAUAAGCCUGGGAAACUGGGUCUAAUACCGGAUAGGAGCUAUUUUUAGUGUGAUGGUUGGAAAGUUUUUUCGGUGUAGGAUGAGCUCGCGGCCUAUCAGCUUGUUGGUGGGGUAAUGGCCUACCAAGGCGGCGACGGGUAGCCGGCCUGAGAGGGUGGACGGCAACAUUGGGACUGAGAUACGGCCCAGACUCCUACGGGAGGCAGCAGUGGGGAAUAUUGCACAAUGGGCGCAAGCCUGAUGCAGCGACGCCGCGUGGGGGAUGACGGCCUUCGGGUUGUAAACUCCUUUCGCUAGGGACGAAGCUUUUUGUGACGGUACCUAGAUAAGAAGCACCGGCUAACUACGUG
Molecule: ribosomal RNA, 465 nt
Filed under: uncultured bacterium
Lineage: Bacteria
Description: partial 16S ribosomal RNA
Rfam family: Bacterial small subunit ribosomal RNA
Source: RNAcentral